RNAcentral lists this ribosomal RNA (253 nucleotides) under uncultured bacterium. Its description in RNAcentral is "partial 16S ribosomal RNA". It matches the Rfam family "Bacterial small subunit ribosomal RNA", at positions 524 to 776 of the family's 1533-position model. The record is from RNAcentral.
CACGUAGGAGGCGAGCGUUGUCCGGAAUCACUGGGCGUAAAGAGCGCGCAGGCGGCUUGGCAAGUCGGGUGUGAAAUCCCGGGGCUCAACCCCGUGACUGCAUUCGAUACUGUCAGGCUAGAGGUAGGUAGGGGAGAUCGGAAUUCCUGGUGUAGCGGUGAAAUGCGCAGAUAUCAGGAGGAACACCGGUGGCGAAGGCGGAUCUCUGGGCCUUACCUGACGCUCAGGCGCGAAAGCUAGGGGAGCGAACAGG